UACAAUCAAACAAAGUUAAGCUCACAGGCUCAGUGGCAUUCAUGAUCAUUAGUGUGUCACAUGUUACUUUUAAACAGCUGCCACAGUUUUUAGUUUUUUUCUCUCAUUGUAUUAGUAUCUAGGCAGUCAGGAUCAGGUUAACUGUCAGGAUCAGGUUUCUCUUGUCAAGUCCACAAUCUUGGAUGGAGCUUCUAGAUAGCCAAGUAAUAGAUGGUGAUGCCUGUCCCAGAACAGACACCAAGCUCCAUCCAUCUGCCCUCCACACUCUUUCCUCCCAUUCUGCCAGAGGAGCCCUAGGAUAAAGGGGCUUAGGCAUGGGAAGAAUGCUCUGGGAGAACAGAUGAGACUGAAGGAUGGGAAGGAGCAGAAACAAAGGACAGGUGGCGAAUAAGGAAGGAAGAGAUCUGCCAUUUGUGACUCUUCUUAAGGUCACAGCAAGAAGCCAGUGGGGUCAUGGACAGCUACCAUGGGACAGCUACUCCCCAGCAGCUCUGCCUCCUUUUCUGCCUCAAGGAAGCAGGGAGAAAUGUCCAGAGCACGGAAAUAGCUCUUCCCAGCCAAGCACCACUCCCCAACAAGCGUCCCCACCUGGUUUACUUUCAUGGCUGGCAUUUGACACAGCCUGAUUUAUAGAAACUGAGAAAGUGACCGUUCUCAAAUUCCCUCUUAACUUGGGAUGCCUCAAAUUCAAUUAAAAGGAGAUGAACACAGAGUGGGAAGAACUUGGAGAAAUAAUAAAUUCAUAUGAAUGAG
RNAcentral lists this small RNA (753 nucleotides) under Pan troglodytes (chimpanzee). RNAcentral describes it as "sense intronic". The record is from RNAcentral. Lineage: Eukaryota; Metazoa; Chordata; Mammalia; Primates; Hominidae.